GACGAACGCUGGCGGCGUGCCUAAUACAUGCAAGUAGAACGCUGAAGAGAGGAGCUUGCUCUUCUUGGAUGAGUUGCGAACGGGUGAGUAACGCGUAGGUAACCUGCCUUGUAGCGGGGGAUAACUAUUGGAAACGAUAGCUAAUACCGCAUAACAAUGGAUGACACAUGUCAUUUUUUUGAAAGGGGCAAUUGCUCCACUACAAGAUGGACCUGCGUUGUAUUAGCUAGUAGGUGAGGUAACGGCUCACCUAGGCGACGAUACAUAGCCGACCUGAGAGGGUGAUCGGCCACACUGGGACUGAGACACGGCCCAGACUCCUACGGGAGGCAGCAGUAGGGAAUCUUCGGCAAUGGGGGCAACCCUGACCGAGCAACGCCGCGGGAGUGAAGAAGGUUUUCGGAUCGUAAAGCUCUGUUGUAAGUCAAGAACGAGUGUGAGAGUGGAAAGUUCACACUGUGACGGUAGCUUACCAGAAAGGGACGGCUAACUACGUG
RNAcentral lists this ribosomal RNA (497 nucleotides) under uncultured bacterium. RNAcentral's name for it is "partial 16S ribosomal RNA". It matches the Rfam family "Bacterial small subunit ribosomal RNA", at positions 28 to 507 of the family's 1533-position model. The record is from RNAcentral.